Molecule: transfer RNA, 64 nt
Filed under: Sphaerodactylus townsendi
Lineage: Eukaryota; Metazoa; Chordata; Lepidosauria; Squamata; Sphaerodactylidae
Description: tRNA-Pro
Source: RNAcentral
GCGGCUCAGUGGAAGAGCCUCUACUUGGCAUAGAAGGUCCCAGGUUCAAUCCCCGCCAUCUCCA